AGUAGCUUGCUAUGAGCUGUUUUAGCGGCGGACGGGUGAGUAACGCGUGAGCAACCUUUCCCAGACAGGGGGAUAACGCAGCGAAAGUUGCACUAAUACCGCAUAAGACCACAGAGCCACAUGGCAUAGGGGUCAAAGGAGCAAUCCGGUCUGAGGUGAGCUCGCGUCCCAUUAGGUAGUUGGUGAGGUAACGGCCCACCAAGGCGACGAUCGGUAGCCGACCUGAGAGGGUGAUCGGCCACAUUGGAACUGAGACACGGUCCAAACUCC
RNAcentral lists this ribosomal RNA (270 nucleotides) under uncultured Clostridia bacterium. RNAcentral describes it as "partial 16S ribosomal RNA". It matches the Rfam family "Bacterial small subunit ribosomal RNA", at positions 70 to 339 of the family's 1533-position model. The record is from RNAcentral. Lineage: Bacteria; Bacillati; Bacillota; Clostridia.